RNAcentral lists this ribosomal RNA (492 nucleotides) under uncultured bacterium. RNAcentral's name for it is "partial 16S ribosomal RNA". It matches the Rfam family "Bacterial small subunit ribosomal RNA", at positions 30 to 507 of the family's 1533-position model. The record is from RNAcentral.
AGUGAACGCUGGCGGCAGGCCUAACACAUGCAAGUCGAGCGGCAGCGCGGGAGCAACCCGCGCGUACGGCGGCGGACGGGUGGGGGAGUGGUCGGAACCUGCCUAUUUAUGGGGGCGAGCGUGGGGACGCAGGCGCACAUACCGCAAAAGCGCUACGGGCGUACGGGGGAGAGCGCAGGACCUUCCGCCGUUAGACGAGCGGACGACCGGAUGGCGGAUUAGCUAGUUGGCGGGGUAAAGGCCCACCAAGGCGACGAUCGGUAGCUGGUCUGAGAGGAUGCUCAGCCACACUGGAACUGAGACACGCUCCAGACUCCUACGGGAGGCAGCAGUGGGGAAUAUUGGACAAUGGGCGCAAGCCUGAUCCAGCCAUACCGCGUGGGUGAAGAAGGCCUUCGGGUUGUAAAGCCCUUUUGUUGGGAAAGAAAAGCAGCAGGUUAAUACCCCGCUGUUCUGACGGUACCCAAAGAAUAAGCACCGGCUAACUUCGUG